This 333-nucleotide ribosomal RNA is filed under the name uncultured bacterium. Its description in RNAcentral is "partial 16S ribosomal RNA". It matches the Rfam family "Bacterial small subunit ribosomal RNA", at positions 338 to 682 of the family's 1533-position model. The record is from RNAcentral.
CCUACGGGUGGCAGCAGUCGAGAAUCAUUCACAAUGGGGGAAACCCUGAUGGGGCGACGCCGCGUGGGGGAAUGAAGGUCUGCGGAUUGUAAACCCCUGUCAUGUGGGAGCAAAUUAAAAAGAGAGUACCACAAGAGGAAGAGACGGCGAACGCUGGGCCAGCAGCCGCGGUAAGACAGAGGUCUCAAGCGUUGUUAGGAAUCACUGGGCGUACAGAGUGCGUAGGAGGUUGAGUAAGUCGUGGGUGAAAGGCGCGGGCUCAACCCGCGGACGGCACCUGAUACUGCGAGACUAGAGUACUGGAGGGGCAACCGGAAUUCUCGGUGUAGCCGU